AUGAUGAGAAACAGUUAAUUUUUUAUGGUUAGAACAAAAAUGAUUCCCAUGAUUAUAAUUUAACUAGGGCGGACUGAUCUC
Molecule: small nucleolar RNA, 81 nt
Filed under: Musca domestica (house fly)
Lineage: Eukaryota; Metazoa; Arthropoda; Insecta; Diptera; Muscidae
Description: small nucleolar RNA U43
Rfam family: Small nucleolar RNA U43
Source: Rfam by way of RNAcentral